AUCUAAAUCAUGCCAUGGUUUCUCACAAUCAAGAAUAUCAACAAUUUCUCAAUACCAUCAGUGUUCCCUAAUUCCUAUCAAUGAUGGAACCAACGAACGAAGAAUUUAUAGGGUCCUAAAGAAGAUCCACGUUUGGAACUCUUGAGGAAGGAAUGGUUUGAAGACAAGGAGUGUCUUGAUAUUUAAUACUUUAUUUCUAUUUAAUACUUUAUUUAGAAAUAAAAAAUAUUAUAUUGAAUACUUUAUUUGUAUUGGAGUUAUUAUUUUUUAUUUUCAAUACUAAAAAAUUAUAUAUUAUGU
This is a non-coding RNA of Arachis ipaensis, 300 nucleotides long. The record is from RefSeq and is a predicted model, not a curated record. Lineage: Eukaryota; Viridiplantae; Streptophyta; Magnoliopsida; Fabales; Fabaceae.